RNAcentral lists this ribosomal RNA (366 nucleotides) under Leclercia sp. 180S. Its description in RNAcentral is "bacterial SSU rRNA". It matches the Rfam family "Bacterial small subunit ribosomal RNA", at positions 1008 to 1374 of the family's 1533-position model. Lineage: Bacteria; Pseudomonadati; Pseudomonadota; Gammaproteobacteria; Enterobacterales; Enterobacteriaceae. The record is from RNAcentral.
GCUUUGGUGCCUUCGGGAACUCUGAGACAGGUGCUGCAUGGCUGUCGUCAGCUCGUGUUGUGAAAUGUUGGGUUAAGUCCCGCAACGAGCGCAACCCUUAUCCUUUGUUGCCAGCGAUUAGGUCGGGAACUCAAAGGAGACUGCCAGUGAUAAACUGGAGGAAGGUGGGGAUGACGUCAAGUCAUCAUGGCCCUUACGAGUAGGGCUACACACGUGCUACAAUGGCGCAUACAAAGAGAAGCGACCUCGCGAGAGCAAGCGGACCUCAUAAAGUGCGUCGUAGUCCGGAUUGGAGUCUGCAACUCGACUCCAUGAAGUCGGAAUCGCUAGUAAUCGUAGAUCAGAAUGCUACGGUGAAUACGUUCC